This 71-nucleotide transfer RNA is filed under the name Loxodonta africana (African savanna elephant). It matches the Rfam family "tRNA". Rfam says of the family: Transfer RNA (tRNA) molecules are approximately 80 nucleotides in length. Their secondary structure includes four short double-helical elements and three loops (D, anti-codon, and T loops). The record is from Rfam by way of RNAcentral. Lineage: Eukaryota; Metazoa; Chordata; Mammalia; Proboscidea; Elephantidae.
GCAGUGGUGGUUUAAUGGUAGAAUUCUCGCCUUCCAUGCCAGAGACCUAGGUUCAAUUACUGGCCAACGCA